RNAcentral lists this small RNA (89 nucleotides) under Flavobacterium saliperosum. RNAcentral's name for it is "Flavo-1 RNA". It matches the Rfam family "Flavo-1 RNA". The record is from RNAcentral. Lineage: Bacteria; Pseudomonadati; Bacteroidota; Flavobacteriia; Flavobacteriales; Flavobacteriaceae.
GUAUAGCCCUGAUGGGAGAGAAAUCCUGUGAUUGGGAGAUUGCUUCGCAGGCUCGCAAUGACAGAUUGUAACGGACAGCAGGAAUAGGG